GACGAACGCUGGCGGCGUGCUUAACACAUGCAAGUCGAACGGAACGGCCCUGCUUUUGUGGGGUGCUCGAGUGGCGAACGGGUGAGUAACACGUGAGUAACCUGCACUUGACUUUGGGAUAACUUCAGGAAACUGGGGCUAAUACCGGAUAGGAGCUCCUGCUGCAUGGUGGGGGUUGGAAAGUUUCGGCGGUUGGGGAUGGACUCGCGGCGGAUCAGCUUGUUGGUGGGGUAGUGGCUUAGCAAGGCUUUGACGGGUAGCUGGUCUGGGAGGGUGACCGGCCACACUGGGAAUGAGACACGGACUCGAAUGCUACGGGGAGCAGCAGUGGGGAAUAUUGGACGAGGGGCGCAAGUCUGACCCAGCAACGCCGCGUGAGUGAUGCAGGCGGUAGGGUUGUAAAGCUCUUUUACCCGGGAUGAUAAUGACAGUACCGGGAGAAUAAGCUCCGGCUAACUCCGUG
Molecule: ribosomal RNA, 463 nt
Filed under: uncultured bacterium
Lineage: Bacteria
Description: partial 16S ribosomal RNA
Rfam family: Bacterial small subunit ribosomal RNA
Source: RNAcentral